UUCUUAUUAGCUUAAUGGUAGAACAAUAUUUUCCUAAAUUAUAGGUCUAAGUUCAAAUCUUAGACAAGAAA
Kalmusia sp. IMI 367209 is the source of this 71-nucleotide non-coding RNA. Lineage: Eukaryota; Fungi; Ascomycota; Dothideomycetes; Pleosporales; Didymosphaeriaceae. The record is from the annotation of a GenBank genome assembly.